GGGCCGUUAGCUCAGUUGGAUAGAGCAAGAAAUUUCUAAUUUCUAGGUCGGGGGUUCGAUUCUUCCACGGCUCGCCA
Molecule: transfer RNA, 77 nt
Filed under: Loktanella sp.
Lineage: Bacteria; Pseudomonadati; Pseudomonadota; Alphaproteobacteria; Rhodobacterales; Roseobacteraceae
Description: tRNA-Arg
Rfam family: tRNA
About the family: Transfer RNA (tRNA) molecules are approximately 80 nucleotides in length.
Source: RNAcentral